AAAGCUCUUUGUUUUUUGAAAGGGUGCUUUUAUGAGAUAGAGCUUUUUUAGAUAAUGCUUUUUUAGAUAAUGCUGGGGAAGGUUUUCCGGUUUAUCUCGGAGGGCUUGUAGCUCAGUUGGUUAGAGCGCGCGCUUGAUAAGCGUGAGGUCGGAGGUUCAAGUCCUCCCAGGCCCACCAAUUUACCUAUCCAUUUGCCUUUAUCCGUUUAUUUGCCGAUUUAUCGGUCCAUUGAAUUUAAGUGUUGGUAGCAGUUUUAUAAUGAUGAGAAAUCAUGCUUAUAAAAGAAUUCCUUAUAAAAGGCUUGUUUUUAAAAUGUGACGCUUAUCCAUUUCGCUUAGGCAAGAGAAACUUCAAGCGGUUCAAAUACAAAAGGCUUUAAGUUUUGCAAAACACUUUGAAUUUUGCAAAACACUUUGAAUUUUAAAGUGAUCCAAGUUCGUGAUCUCGAAUUUAAAAGUUUCGAAUGCUUUAUCCUUUUUUGGGGGCCGUAGCUCAGCUGGGAGAGCACCUGCUUUGCAAGCAGGGGG
This 528-nucleotide unclassified non-coding RNA is filed under the name uncultured Bartonella sp. RNAcentral describes it as "partial 16S-23S ribosomal RNA intergenic spacer". The stretch from base 102 to 175 matches the Rfam family "tRNA". The record is from RNAcentral. Lineage: Bacteria; Pseudomonadati; Pseudomonadota; Alphaproteobacteria; Hyphomicrobiales; Bartonellaceae.